GAUGAACGCUAGCGGCAGGCCUAAUACAUGCAAGUCGAACGGUGUCUUCGGACAUAGUGGCGCACGGGUGCGUAACACGUAUGCAACCUACCUUACAUUGGGGGAUAGCCUUUCGAAAGGGAGAUUAAUACCGCAUAAGACAGUAGCUGGGCAUCCAGCAGCUGUUAAAGAUUUAUCGAUGUAAGCUGGGCAUGCGUCCAAUUAGCUAGUUGGUGAGGUAACGGCUCACCAAGGCAAUGAUUGGUAGGGGAACUGAGAGGUCAAUCCCCCACACUGGCACUGAGAGACGGGCCAGACUCCUACGGGAGGCAGCAGUAGGGAAUAUUGGGCAAUGGACGCAGGUCUGACCCAGCCAUGCCGCGUGCAGGAUGAAGGCGUUAUGCGUUGUAAACUGCUUUUAUACAGGAAGAAACGACUCUUGCGAGAGGCAUUGACGGUACUGUAUGAAUAAGCACCGGCUAACUCCGUGCCAGCCGCCGCCGUAA
This 485-nucleotide ribosomal RNA is filed under the name uncultured bacterium. RNAcentral describes it as "partial 16S ribosomal RNA". It matches the Rfam family "Bacterial small subunit ribosomal RNA", at positions 28 to 523 of the family's 1533-position model. The record is from RNAcentral.